ACCGGAUAUGACCCUCGAGGCAUCUGUGAGGGUGUAAAGCUCCGGCGGUGCAGGAUGAGCCGCGGCCUAUCAGCUUUUGUGAGGUAACGGCUCACCAAGGCGACGACGGGUAGCCGGCCUGAGAGGGCGACCGGCCACAUGGGACUGAGACACGGCCCAGACUCCUACGGGAGGCAGCAGUGGGGAAUAUUGCACAAUGGGCGAAAGCCUGAUGCAGCGACGCCGCGUGAGGGAUGACGGCCUUCGGGUUUAAACCUCUUUCAGCAGGGAAGAAGCGAAGUGACGGUACCUGCAGAAGAAGCGCCGGCUAACUACGUGCCAGCAGCCGCGGUAAUACGUAGGGCGCAAGCGUUGUCCGGAAUUAUUGGGCGUAAAGAGCUCGUAGGCGCUUGUCACGUCGGAUGUGAAAGCCCGGGGCUUAACCCCGGGUCUGCAUUCGAUACGGGCAGGCUAGAGUUCGGUAGGGGAGAUCGGAAUUCCUGGUGUAGCGGUGAAAUGCCAGAUAUCAGGAGGAACACCGGUGGCGAAGGCGGAUCUCUGGGCCGAUACUGACGGCUGAGGAGCGAAAGCGUGGGGAGCGAACAGGAUUAGAUACCCUGGUAGUCCACGCCGUAAACGGUGGGCACUAGGUGUGGGCAACAUUCCACGUUGUCCGUGCCGCAGCUAACGCAUUAAGUGCCCCGCCUGGGGAGUACGGCCGCAAGGCUAAAAACUCAAGGAAUUGACGGGGGCCCGCACAAGCGGCGGAGCAUGUGGCUUAAUUCGACGCAACGCGAAAACCUUACCAAGGCUUGACAUACACCGGAAAACCCUGGAGACAGGGUCCCCCUUGUGGUCGGUGUACAGGUGGUGCAUGGCUGUCGUCAGCUCGUGUCGUGAGAUGUUGGGUUAAGUCCCGCAACGAGCGCAACCCUUGUCCCGUGUUGCCAGCAGGCCCUUGUGGUGCUGGGGACUCACGGGAGACCGCCGGGGUCAACUCGGAGGAAGGUGGGGACGACGUCAAGUCAUCAUGCCCCUUAUGUCUUGGGCUGCACACGUGCUACAUGGCCGGUACAAAGAGCUGCGAUACCGUGAGGGGAGCGAAUCUAAAAAGCCGGUCUCAGUUCGGAUUGGGUCUCAACUCGACCCCAUGAAGUCGGAGUCGUAGUAAUCGCAGAUCAGCAUUGCUGCGGUGAAUACGUUCCCGGGCCUUGUACACACCGCCCGUCACGUCACGAAAGUCGGUAACACCCGAAGCCGGUGGCCCACCCCUUGUGGGAGGGAGCUGUCGAAGGUGGGACUGG
Molecule: ribosomal RNA, 1283 nt
Filed under: Streptomyces aurantiogriseus
Lineage: Bacteria; Bacillati; Actinomycetota; Actinomycetes; Kitasatosporales; Streptomycetaceae
Description: bacterial SSU rRNA
Rfam family: Bacterial small subunit ribosomal RNA
Source: RNAcentral